Molecule: long non-coding RNA, 642 nt
Organism: Python bivittatus (Burmese python)
Lineage: Eukaryota; Metazoa; Chordata; Lepidosauria; Squamata; Pythonidae
Source: RefSeq, a predicted model, not a curated record
ACUCUUGGGAGCUCUCCUGCUGACAAGAAGAUAAGCUGUCAUUGCCUGGGUGCAACUCUUCAGAACAGAACAUGACUUAUCAAAUUUGACACAACUAAUGGAAAGAGUGCAAAGUAAAAAAAAUCAGAAAAGAAAAAUACUUCUAGAUGUUUUUCAAAUUCAUGAGCCUCCCAGGUCUGAAGCAGAAGCAUUACUAGGUGAUCCUGCCUUUUGACAACUGGAGGACAAACUCCUUCCAGGCUCCUUCUGGUUCACAAAGAAGAUUCAAAGAUGAGCAGACAAGCUUAAGCCCGUGGUUCUGAUGAACAAAAGGAAUGGCCAGGAAGCCUUCGGCUAAUCAUACUUUAUAUUCUUUGGCUACCUCUGCUAUUGUUUUCCUAGGACCCGACAAUCAGUAAUGCAAUGGGAAGAGCUUGGGGGGAAGUCUGCACAAUCUUUGUUGGGGAAGAUCACCAUUCGGUCCUUUUUAGCAUCAUUUUAUUUGCUGUAGCUCCUAGACCUGCAAUAAUAGGGUGUCCUUGAAGGAAGUAUUGAAGGCAAUCUGUUUGUCUUCAAACUGGGGCCCUCUUCCCAACUAGACAUGCCUGACUGACUCCAUCUAGUGCAGUGUUUCUCAACCUUGACCCCUUGAAGAUGUGUGGA